Molecule: small nucleolar RNA, 136 nt
Organism: Lepus europaeus (European hare)
Lineage: Eukaryota; Metazoa; Chordata; Mammalia; Lagomorpha; Leporidae
Source: RefSeq, a predicted model, not a curated record
GUGGCCUUGACUGCAGACCAGCAGUUAUAUUACAGCUGUCGGUUUCAAGUGGAGGCCUAAAUGCUGUCUUUCUGUGGUCUGCUGGCUAUUCUGGAACCUCAGCAGAGAAUGGCUAUUUGAUUUGGAAGAAACAAAC